Molecule: RNA transcript, 7606 nt
Organism: Harpia harpyja (harpy eagle)
Lineage: Eukaryota; Metazoa; Chordata; Aves; Accipitriformes; Accipitridae
Exons: 4
Source: RefSeq, a predicted model, not a curated record
AGGGUUCGCGCGCCGGCUCUGGCCCCUCCUGCACGCCCUCGGCGGCCGGCGCAUGCGCGGUCCACGGGAGCAGCAUGGCGGCGCCAAGGGCGCGGGCGUCGGCGUCAGCGGGUGAGCGCCAGGAUCACCGAGGCUGCGCUGAGGAUGCGUUUGUCCGUUCCUCCCCUGGGGAUGCUGUUGACUGCACCCGCUUCAGGCUUGUGUGGGCUGACUCUGCCUGGUCUUGCUCUCCUCGCAGCAUGGGAGCAAAAAGGGACAGGCGGAGCGCUUACUGGCUGUGGGCAGGAGCUGCUGCAGCUGUAGCUGGAGAGGCCAGAGAAAGGUAAAGAUGAAGAAAUUGAAGGCCAUCUGGCCGGCAACUGCCUCCUGCUGCAGGCAAGAGAGAGCCUGCUUCUCCAGGUGAGGAAGGAUCCCUCAUUGUAGUCCACAGCAGGCCAGGCUGCCAACGUGCACUGUAGGGUCUGUAUGCGCCACCAACAGUGCCGUACGGCCACAUAGUGCACAAGCGAGCGAGGCUACGUGCUCCCUCUUCCUCCCUCCCUUUCUCUCUCUCUUGUUCUACUGCUCCCUUUUCUUUUUCUAUCUGUACUUUUGUUCUGCUCCCUCUCCCUCUUUUUUUUUAAAUCCUCUGUCUCUGUCCUGCAUCCCAUUGCUGUUUUUUCUUUUUCCAUCUCUUUGCCCUGAUCUGCAUCCAUCUCUUUUUUUCCACAAUUUCUCUGGCUUGUUCCGUGGCAUUCUUUUCCUCUCUGUGCCUGUAUGUGCUGCUCCAUGUCCCUGCCUUCCUAUCUUCCUCCCUCCUUCUUUGCUUUCUCUCUGUAUCCCUUCGUCUUGCUCACUCACUGUUUUUUUUUCAUUCUAUAUCUCACUGCCCCUGUUCUCCUUCCUGUUCAUCUCUUACUCUCUCUGACCCUUUGUGCUGCUCCCUUGCAUCCUACUCCCUCCCUCCCUCUCUCUCUAUCACACUGUCUUGCUCCUGAUCCCGCUCUUUCUUUCUACCCUUCUGAUGUGUGUAUCCCCCAACCCCUCCUUUUACAUGUCCUGGUCUUUCUACAUCCUUCUGUUAUUCUCCUUCUCUUCCUCUAUCCUGCUGCCCAUCGCUAUUUUUUUUUCCUCCUCCAUCCCUUUGUCCUGCUCCCUGUCCUUGUCGAUCUUUCCCUUUGUUCUGCUUUCAGUCUUUGUUUUCUCUAUCUGACUGUCCUUUUCCCUGUACCUUCUUCUCUCUGCUCCUCAGCCCUGCUCCCUCAUCUUACUCUUCUUUCUGCCAUGCCUCUCUUUUUCUCUGGACCCUCUGUGCUGUUCCCUUUCUUUUUUUUUCUCCAAUUGUCUGUUGUCUUACCUGUCCCUCUCUGUCUCUCUUGCUCUGUCCUGCUCCCUGUCCCUAUUAUUUCUUGCUUCACCUCUCUGUCCCUGUUUUUUCUGUCUUGCUCCAUUUCCCUGUCAUUUUCUCUGCUGCUCUCGUUGGCUUUCUAUCCCAGUGUCCUGCUCCCUGUCCCUCUCUCUUUUGCAGUAUCCCACUUUCUGGCUCCCUGUCCCUCACCUGUUUUCUAUAUGCCUCUGUCCUUCAUCCUGUCUUUCCUUGUCCCUCUGUUCUGCUACCCAUCACUGUUGUCUUUUUUUCUCCAUCAUUCUGCCUUGGUCCUGUCACUCUCCUCCUCUCUCUCUCUAAUGUUUCUUUCUCCAUCCCUGCCCCACUCCCUGUCCCUUUUCUCCUAUGCUCUGUCCUCCAUCCUCCUCCUAACUUUUUUUCUGUGUAUGUCCAUACUGCUGCCUGUCCCAUCAUUUGUUGCUAUAUCCCCCUGCCCAGCUCGCUGUCCCAUUAUUCUCCUCUGUCCUGCUCCCUGGCCUUUUUUCUCAUCCUGCAGCCCAGCACUGGUUUUCCUUUCUCCAUCUGUUUGUCCUGAUCUUUCUCUCUUUUCCCCUCAAUCCCUCUGGCUUGUUACCUGUCUUUUUCUCUCCUUCCUGCCUUCUUUAUUCCUCUCAUUCAGUUUCUUUCUCAAUCAGUCUGUUCUGCUCCCUGCUCAUCAUUUUCUCUCUCUUUCCCUCUGUCCUGCUCCCUGACCCUGUUUUUCUUCUGCCAUGUCCUUGCAGGGCUCCUCAUCCCUUUUUAACUGAUUUCUCCACCUCACUGUCUUUUUCCCUGUACCUUUCUUUCUCUGCUCCUUAGUCUUUCUCCCUAAUUUUAUUUUUCUCUUUCUGUUCCUCUAUCCUGUUCCCCAUUGCUAUAUUUUCAUUCUCUGUAUCUGCUGCUCCAGUAAUGACUGCUGAGUUGUCCCGGGGGAAGGGCGAGUGUACAGGCACUGAGCCCCAGAGCAGACUCACUCCUGGGACUUACAUGCAUUAAUGAAUAAACACUUGCUGUCUCCUUUCCACUCAUGGCUCUGUUUGUAGUCCUUUGUACUUGGUGAGUGGCUGUCAUAAUGUCCAGGGUAGCAGGUUACGUAGUGGGUGUAAGGGGCCAUGGCUGGGGCUGUGGAGGAGCCCCGGGGGGGCCAGCGAGACUGAUGGCAAUGGCCCCUCUGUGUAAAAGGGCUGCAGCCCCAGGGUGUGGUGCUGCUGGGGCAUGCCUGCCUGAGAGUGCUGACAAGCUGCGAGGAUGUUUCCAACAGACAGGUUGACAGUCACUUGGAGUCAGGCCCCAUUAGGGCAGCUCCCAGGGAUUUUCUGAGAGCUGGUGGAGAGGAAGCAGGAAGAGGGGCAGGAGAUGGCUGCCCCCACCCCUCCAGGUACCUGGAGGCCUUCCCACUCCCUGGAAAAGGCCCUGAGUGCCUCACCAACUCAACAAAACUCCAGCCCUGCUCACCCCAUGCAGCUGCCCCCAGCUCUAGCACCUCCCCUGAAGCCUGUCCCAUAGCCACUGACUGGCCACAAACCCUGUUCUCAUGGCAUCAGGGUGGCCCUUGAAUAUGCUUUAUUGCACCAUAAGUGCAGGUGCCAUUAGCAUCAGUCUGGGGAAAGAGCGGUGUCUCCAGAAGCUGCUGCAGAAGGAGGGGUUCCUGCCUGAGGAGAACUACAGUCAUCACUGUGGAUAAGAGUUGCUUGUUCUUUCCCUUUCCUAGAGGCAGCAUUGAAGACUUAGUUGUCGAUUCCUCUCUGGGGAUGUUGUUGACUGUGUCUGGCUCAGGUUUGUGUGGGUUGCCUUUGGCCUCAUUCUCCUAGCGGCAUGGGCGAAAACGGACAGCUGGAGACUUACUGGCUGUGGACAGGAGCUGCAGUGGCUGAAGCUAGAGAGGCCAGAAGAAGGUAAAGCAACUGAAGAAUAAAAUAAAGGGCAGACAGGAGACAGCCUGCCUCUCCAGGUGAGGAAGGAUCCCUCUUAGUGCAGUUCUCAGCAGAUCCGAUCACUAAUGUGCACAGCAGGGUCUGUAUGCAUAACCAAAAGCACACUACAGAGAUGUAGUGUGUGCAUGUGGGAGGCUAUGUAUUUGGGAAGCCUCAUGUUGUAAGAGCUGUAAGACACCAAUCUAUGCUUUUAGGUGGAUGACAGUCAAGUGACCAGAGCUACAGAGGAGGAGUGGGGGCAGAGAGAGACAAAGACAUGUCCAAACUGUCAAAUUCUCCCAACACCUCCAAGAGCGGGAGCUGCAGGAUGUUUUCAUUAUGGGUGAGCAGUGCUUACACAGAAUCAAGGUCUUUUCUGCUUCUCACUCCACCCCACCAGCAAGGAGGCUGGGGCGGCACAAGAAGUUCGGAGGGGACACAGCUGGGACAGCUGAUGCCAACUGACCCAAGGGAUAUUCCAGACCAUAUGACAUCAUGCUCAGCCUAUAAAGCAAUGGCGAUGCACCGGGGCUGGCAGAUGGCCAGGGCAUCGCUGCUGUUUCUGUGGUGCUGUACUGGACAGGCUGGAACUCCAGUGUGAACUCGAGUUGAAGGGACUGCGACCUGCGGAUGAGUUCAUGUGGGAGCAGGACACCCUGAAGUGUCUGUGGCCAUGGAUAAGCCCAUGCCAGAGCAGGUACAUCUCAAAGCGUCUAUGGCCGCAGUUGUGUCUGUGCUGCAGCAGGUGUACCUCUGAAGAGAUUGUGGCCCAAGGAUAAGUCCACACUGCAGCAGGUAUUCCUUGAAGCAUCAGUGGCUGUGCUGGUCAUGCUGGAGUACCUCAAAGCGUGUGGCCAUGGAUAAGCCCAUGACAGAGCAGGUACACCCCUGGAGGGACUGCAGUCAUGGAUAAGGCCAUGUUGGAGCAGGUUUACUUCUGAAGGGACUGUGGCUGUGGGUAAGGCCAUGCUGGAGGAGGUACAUCUCCGAAGGCAUUGUGGCCCAUGGAUAAGGCCAUGCUGGAACAGGUGCACCUCAAGGCAACUGUGGCUGUGGAUAAGUCUCUGCCGCAGCAGGUAUACCCCUGAAGAGACUCCAGUCUGUGAAUAAGUCCAAGCCGGAGCCUGGGCAAGGUGAGGAGUUCAUUGCAAUGUUAAACCCUGUGGUCUGGUCCAAAGGGACCAGGGGUGGAGAUUGUAAUGGAAAUAACUUUAAAUUGUUGUAACCCAUGAUUUGAGUUGCAUGUUAUAGGAAUUAAUAUAGCAGGAACCAUCCGAACCAAUGGAGGCCAAGCCUUACAAGAAGCAGCACAAGCGCAGCAGCGACCUGACCUGAGCUGGCUUUGGUGCCCAGUAACUCCAUGCAACACACCACCUCUGCUGUCCUGAGUGACCACCGUAACAGGUGGAGCCCAAAGUCAUGGACUAAAUGAAUUCAAUGGACAUUUUGUGGAUGUUUUAUGGACAUUUUAGAGGGGCGGUCCAUAGACUAAGAGAGUAUCUGUAUGUUGUAUCAAAGGAUGGGAAGGGAGGUGGUGGUUAAUGAGGAUGUAUUGGAUAGCGUGGGACCUGAGCAUGACGUAAAUGGUGUGGAAUAAGGGGUGGAGAAUGUGCUGGUUUUGGCUGGGAUAGAGUUAAUUUUCUUCACAGUAGCUGGUAUGGGGCUACGUUUUGGAUUUGUCAGAAAACAGUGUUGAUGAUACAGGGAUGUGUUAGUUAUUGCUGAGCAGUGCUUGCACAGUGCCAAGGGCUGUUCUGCUCAUCACCCUACCCUGCCAGCAAGCAGCUGGGGAUGCACAAGGAGUUGGGAGGGGGACGCAGUUGGGACAGCUGACCCCAACUGACCAAAGGGAUAUUCCAGACCAUAUGAUGUCAUGCUCAGCAAUAAAACUCGGGGUGGAAGUUGGUUUUAUGAAGAUGGCUAUUGCUACUUUUUAAUUAUCGCCUGUCAUGUAACCCAUUGCUUUUAAAAUUUUCUAUGUCUAUUUUUAUCCAGUUCACUGUCUUUAUUUUUUCAUUUUUUCCUCUCUAUUCUGCACCCCAUCAGUUCUAAAUUUCUUUUCUAUUUCUCGGUUUUAGUUCACUGUCACUAUUUUUUAAAUUUUUCCUGUCUGUCCCGUGCCCAAUCACUUUUAAAAUUUUCCUUGUCUACUUUUAUCAAGCUGCAUAUCGCUGUUUUUUAAUUCUUUCCUUGCUAUUGUCUACCGUGUUGCUUUUUACAUUUUCCUUCUAUGUCUACUUCAGCCUAAUCACUGCCUUUAUUAUUUCUUUAUUUCCUUAAUCACAGUUGCUUUUAAAACUUUCUGUCUGCUUUUAUCCCAUUCGUGGUCUUUAUUUGCCUACCUUUAUUUUUUAAUUAUUUCUUGUCUUUGCUUAGUGCCUUCGCUUUUUUGAUAUUCUUUCUACGUGUCUGUUUUAGUUCACUGUUCUUAUUUUUUUUAAUAUUUCUUUUAUUUUCCUAAUCCCCCUCACUUUUUAAACAUUCUUUCUGUGCCUACUUUUAUACCCUUUGCUGGCUUUUUAUAAUUAUUUCUUGUCUUUCCUUAGUGCCGUCGCUUUUAAAAUUUUCUUUCUGCAUCUGUUUUAAUUUGCUGUCCUUAUUUCAUAAUUUAUUCCCUCAUUUCCCCAAUUCCUAUUGCUUUUAAAAUGUUCUUUCUAUGCUUCCUUUUUUCCUGUUGAUGUCUUUAUUUUUUUAAUUAUUUGUCUUCCUUUAGUGCCCUUGCUUUUUAGAUUUUCUUUCUACAUCUCUGUUUUAGUUUGCUGUCUCUAUUUCAUAUUUUUUUCCCUUUAUUUCUGUUUUCCUGUCCUGGUUUCAGCUGGGAUAGAGUUAAUUGUCUUCCUAGUAGCUGGUACAGUGCUAUGUUUUUGAGUUAGGUAUGAGAAGAAUGUUGAUAACACUGAUGUUUUCAGUUGUUGCUAAGUAAUGUUUAGACUAAAGUCAAGGAUUUUCCAGCUUCUGAUGCCCAGCCAGCGAAAAAGCUGGAGGGGCACAAGAAGUUGGGAGGGGACAUAGCCAGGGCAGCUGACCCAAAGUGGCCAAUGGGGUAUUCCAUACCAUGUGACGUCACAUCGAGUAUAUAAACUGGGAGGAGUGGGGGUGGGGGGAUCGUUGCUUGGGGACUAACUGGGUAUCAAUCGGUGGGUUGUGAGCAAUUGCAUUGUGCAUCACUUGUAUAUUCUGUUAAGGAAUUUUCUGUCAUGGGUUUCUCUAGGUUUGCUUUAUUAACAACUCAGACUUGGGCCGCUACCGCAGUGAAUGGUGAAAGAUAACUCAAAAACUCCUUCUAUAUAUACAAUUUUACAAAACAUAAUGCAAUUGAUGUCUUGUCAAAAGAAGUUAUUGGUGUUCUUGGUGUUUUUCUAUGAACUUUCAGUUCUCUAUUCUCCAGUGGUUUCAAAAGUCCAAUACAUUUUCCUGUCUCCACUGAUUCUUACUGUCUUGUCCUGGUUCUUCUGAAGUUAGUGGUUGUAGGCAGAAGGUCUCCGGUCACCACUGUCACUUAUCUUCUUACACAUCAAAGAUCACCGUUGAAUUUCUAAGAAUCACUCAGGUUGUUUUAUUAAUUCAUCUUACUCUAAAGUUAAUCACUUACUCUUAUCUAUUCUUAUGUCUUAGGUCUAAGAUGUAUGAUCCUUUUUCUGUUGAUUCAGCUUGACUGGGUUUUAAGCCAGCCAUGGUGAGGGCUACACAAGGGACAAAUAAGCAACUUAUGCAUGUUGUUUUAUAAGCACCUGCAUUCUAUUAAUCACAUCUAAAACAAUCUCUAAUCAUUAGUUAUAUGUCUGAUAUGAAUAGUCUUAGAAACAAUGAGGCUUAAGGCCUAGUUCCCUUUACAUAGUUUAAUCCUUUUAUUAUUACUAUUGUAAUUUUAUUAGUAUUAUCAUUAUUAGUUUCUUCUUUUCUGUUCUAUUAAACCAUUCUUAUCUCAACCCACGACUUUUACUUCUUUUCCCGAUUUUCUCCCCCAUUCCACUGGGUGUGGGGGAAGUGAGUGAGCGGCUGCAUGGUGCUUAGUUGCUAACUGGGGUUAAACCAUGACAGUCCAUUUUGGUGCCCAGUGUGGGGCCCGAAGGGUUGAGAUAAUGACAAACCUGACCAGAGCUUGUUAAAACAAAUUUGUUACAAGCAUUCAUUAUAUUGGUCUAAUAGCUACUGGUCACUAUGUUGAUUUUUGUGUUCUUAGAGUUGUUGCUCUUGUUUUUAAAGUUCUGUUACGUAUCACCUCACUUGCUGUGUGUAGUCCCUGUGCUGCUGCUUAUCAUCCAUGGGAGGCAGAUUAAGGUUUUCGCUUUGAUGUAUUGUGUAAUACUGGCUUAUGGUAUGAUAAAGUUAUCAAUUGUGGGAUUAA